AUUGCCCUAGUAACGGCGAGUGAAGCGGCAACAGCUCAAAUUUGAAAUCUGGCCCUCGGGUCCGAGUUGUAAUUUGUAGAGGAUGCUUUUGGUGCGGUGCCUUCCGAGUUCCCUGGAACGGGACGCCAUAGAGGGUGAGAGCCCCGUCUGGUUGGACGCCAAUCCUCUGUAAAGCUCCUUCGACGAGUCGAGUAGUUUGGGAAUGCUGCUCUAAAUGGGAGGUAUAUGUCUUCUAAAGCUAAAUACCGGCCAGAGACCGAUAGCGCACAAGUAGAGUGAUCGAAAGAUGAAAAGCACUUUGAAAAGAGAGUUAAAAAGUACGUGAAAUUGUUGAAAGGGAAGCGCUUAUGACCAGACUUGGGCUUGGUAGAUCAACCUGGGUUCUCCCUGGUGCACUCUUCCUCGUCCAGGCCAGCAUCAGUUCGCUGCGGGGGAUAAAGGUUUCGGGAAUGUGGCUCCCUCGGGAGUGUUAUAGCCCGUUGCGUAAUACCCUGUGGUGGACUGAGGUUCGCGUUCUGCAAGGAUGCUGGCGUAAUGGUCAUCAGUGACCCGUCUUGAAACACGGACCAAGGAGUCGUCUUCGUAUGCGAGUGUUCGGGUGUUAAACCCCUACGCGUAAUGAAAGUGAACGCAGGUGAGAGCUUCGGCGCAUCAUCGACCGAUCCUGAUGUUCUCGGAUGGAUUUGAGUAAGAGCAUACGGGGCCGGACCCGAAAGAAGGUGAACUAUGCCUGUAUAGGGUGAAGCCAGAGGAAACUCUGGUGGAGGCUCGCAGCGGUUCUGACGUGCAAAUCGAUCGUCAAAUAUGGGCAUGGGGGCGAAAGACUAAU
Molecule: ribosomal RNA, 829 nt
Filed under: Mariannaea samuelsii
Lineage: Eukaryota; Fungi; Ascomycota; Sordariomycetes; Hypocreales; Nectriaceae
Description: eukaryotic LSU rRNA
Rfam family: Eukaryotic large subunit ribosomal RNA
Source: RNAcentral